RNAcentral lists this small nucleolar RNA (131 nucleotides) under Mustela putorius furo (domestic ferret). RNAcentral's name for it is "Small nucleolar RNA SNORA44 (ENSMPUG00000022874.1)". It matches the Rfam family "Small nucleolar RNA SNORA44". Rfam says of the family: ACA44 is a member of the H/ACA class of snoRNA that guide the sites of modification of uridines to pseudouridines. The record is from Rfam by way of RNAcentral. Lineage: Eukaryota; Metazoa; Chordata; Mammalia; Carnivora; Mustelidae.
CAGCAUGUUUCCAAGGGCUGUGGCCGGCUGUGGCCAUGGGAUCUCCAACUGCAUGCCAGAGCAACCUGGAGAGACUUUGACAGCACAGGUCAGCACAGUACCUGCGGCUGCCACUCGCCUUUCCUAUAACA